This 378-nucleotide RNase P RNA is filed under the name Paracoccus albicereus. RNAcentral describes it as "Paracoccus sp. TK19116 RNase P RNA component class A". It matches the Rfam family "Bacterial RNase P class A". From Rfam's summary of the family: Ribonuclease P (RNase P) is a ubiquitous endoribonuclease, found in archaea, bacteria and eukarya as well as chloroplasts and mitochondria. Lineage: Bacteria; Pseudomonadati; Pseudomonadota; Alphaproteobacteria; Rhodobacterales; Paracoccaceae. The record is from RNAcentral.
GCGGAGGGCUGGAUGACCGCGGGCGCGGCAACGCGUCCGAGGAAAGUCCGGACUCCAUAAGGCAACGGUGCCGGGUAACGCCCGGCGGGGGCGACCCCAGGGAAAGCGCCACAGAGAACAGACCGCCACGGUCCGCCGGGGCAAGGGUGAAACGGUGGGGUAAAGGCCCACCGGGGGGCUGGCAACAGCGCCCGCUUGGCAAGCCCCACCGGGAGCAAUGCCGAAUAGGGACCACGCGCCGAAAGGCAGGGCGGCCUUGCCCCGGUGGUCCGGGUUGGCAGCUAGAGCCCGUCAGCAAUGGCGGGAUAAGAGGAAUGGUCAUCCAGGGACGGGGCGACCCGACCCGGACAGAAUCCGGCUUACAGGCCCUCCGCGCGC